CCCUUAGAUGUUCUGGGCUGCACGCGCGCUACACUGAUGCACUCAACGAGUUUACGACCUUGCCCGAUAGGGUUGGGUAAUCUUUUUAAAAUGCAUCGUGAUGGGGAUAGAUUAUUGCAAUUAUUAAUCUUCAACGAGGAAUUCCUAGUAAGCGCGAGUCAUCAGCUCGUGCUGAUUACGUCCCUGCCCUUUGUACACACCGCCCGUCGCUCCUUCCGAUUGAGUGCUCAGGUGAAUAAUUCGGACUGCAGCAAUGUUUGGAUCCCGAACGUUGCAGCGGAAAGUUUAGUGAACCUUAUCACUUAGAGGAAGGAGAAGUCGUAACA
Molecule: ribosomal RNA, 326 nt
Filed under: uncultured eukaryote
Lineage: Eukaryota
Description: partial 18S ribosomal RNA
Rfam family: Eukaryotic small subunit ribosomal RNA
Source: RNAcentral